UACAGAGGGUGCAAACGUUGUUCGGAAUUACUGGGCGUAAAGCGCGUGUAGGCGGUUGGGUAAGUCGGAUGUGAAAGCCCCGGGCUCAACCCGGGAAGUGCAUUCGAUACUACUUGGCUAGAGUACUGGAGAGGAUGGUGGAACUCUCGGUGUAGAGGUGAAAUUCGUAGAUAUCGAGAAGAACACCGGCGGCGAAGGCGGCCAUCUGGACAGAUACUGACGCUGAGGUGCGAAAGCGUGGGGAGCAAACAGG
Molecule: ribosomal RNA, 253 nt
Filed under: uncultured bacterium
Lineage: Bacteria
Description: partial 16S ribosomal RNA
Rfam family: Bacterial small subunit ribosomal RNA
Source: RNAcentral